AAUCUAAACAGUCCAUCAUCUAAAAUCCUAAAAUCAGGAAAUUCAUCUAAAGAGAACUUGCCUAAAUUCUUGAUGAGUUCCUGAUCCAUGGACUGAGCUUCCCAAAUCUUCAUGAAGAGAUCCGGCAAGGCUCGAAUCUGAGCGAGAUAGGUACUUUACCAUAGUAGCUGAGCUGGAGCGACUGCAUAUCAUGAAUUAACUUCUAACUGGAGGCCAUGGUUUAGGCCAACACUGCGGGACUCCUUUCUGCUUAGUGCA
This 258-nucleotide long non-coding RNA is filed under the name Carica papaya (papaya). Its description in RNAcentral is "long non-coding RNA (CPAP_LNC006503)". Lineage: Eukaryota; Viridiplantae; Streptophyta; Magnoliopsida; Brassicales; Caricaceae. The record is from RNAcentral.